RNAcentral lists this ribosomal RNA (260 nucleotides) under uncultured bacterium. Its description in RNAcentral is "partial 16S ribosomal RNA". It matches the Rfam family "Bacterial small subunit ribosomal RNA", at positions 524 to 776 of the family's 1533-position model. The record is from RNAcentral.
UACGUAGGGUGCAAGCGUUGUCCGGAAUUAUUGGGCGUAAAAGAGCUCGUAGGCGGUCUGUCGCGUCGAAUGUGAAAAACCCCGGGGCUCAACCCCGGGCCUGCAUUCGAUACGGGGCAAAACUAGAGUACUGCAGGGGAGGACUGGAAAUUCCUGGUGUAGCGGUGAAAUGCGCAGAUAUCAGGAGGAACACCAGUGGCGAAGGCGGCGAUCUGGGAACAUACUGACGCUGAGGUGCGAAAGCGUGGGGAGCAAACAGG